UCCCUACGGGACGCAGCAGUGGGGAAUAUUGCACAAUGGGGGAAACCCUGAUGCAGCGACGCCGCGUGAGUGAAGAAGUAUCUCGGUACGUAAAGCUCUAUCAGCAGGGAAGAAAAUGACGGUACCUGACUAAGAAGCCCCGGCUAACUACGUGCCAGCAGCCGCGGUAAUACGUAGGGGGCAAGCGUUAUCCGGAUUUACUGGGUGUAAAGGGAGCGUAGACGGUUAAGUAAGUCUGGAGUGAAAGGCCGGGGCCCAACCCC
Molecule: ribosomal RNA, 263 nt
Filed under: uncultured bacterium
Lineage: Bacteria
Description: partial 16S ribosomal RNA
Rfam family: Bacterial small subunit ribosomal RNA
Source: RNAcentral